GGGGAAUAUUGCACAAUGGGCGGAAGCCUGAUGCAGCGACGCCGCGUGGGGGAUGAAGGCCUUCGGGUUGUAAACCUCUUUCGCCAGGGAAGAAGCUUUUGUGACGGUACCUGGAGAAGAAGCACCGGCUAACUACGUGCCAGCAGCCGCGGUAAUACGUAGUGUGCGAGCGUUGUCCGGAAUUAUUGGGCGUAAAGAGCUUGUAGGCGGUUUGUCGCGUCUGCCGUGAAAACUCGAGGCUUAACCUUGGGCGUGCGGUGGGUACGGGCAGGCUAGAGUGUGGUAGGGGAGACUGGAAUUCCUGGUGUAGCGGUGAAAUGCGCAGAUAUCAGGAGGAACACCGAUGGCGAAGGCAGGUCUCUGGGCCACUACUGACGCUGAGAAGCGAAAGCAUGGGGAGCGAAC
Molecule: ribosomal RNA, 405 nt
Filed under: uncultured bacterium
Lineage: Bacteria
Description: bacterial SSU rRNA
Rfam family: Bacterial small subunit ribosomal RNA
Source: RNAcentral